RNAcentral lists this ribosomal RNA (406 nucleotides) under uncultured bacterium. Its description in RNAcentral is "partial 16S ribosomal RNA". It matches the Rfam family "Bacterial small subunit ribosomal RNA", at positions 29 to 526 of the family's 1533-position model. The record is from RNAcentral.
AUUGAACGCUGGCGGCAGGCCUAACACAUGCAAGUCGAACGAGUGGCGGACGGGUGAGUAAUGUCUGGGAAACUGCCUGAUGGAGGGGGCUAACGACUGGAAACGGUAGCUAAUACCGCAUACAAUCAGAUGUGCCCAGAGGGGAUGAGCUGGUUGGGGGGGUAACGGCUCACAAAGGCGACGAUCCCUAGCUGGUCUGAGAGGAUGACCGGCCACACUGGAACUGAGACACGGUCCAGACUCCUACGGGAGGCAGCAGUGGGGAAUAUUGCACAAUGGGCGAAAGCCUGAUGCAGCCAUGCCGCGUGUAUGAAGAAGGCCUUCGGGUUGUAAAGUACUUUCAGCGGGGAGGCGUUACCCGCAGAAGAAGCACCGGCUAACUCCGUGCCAGCCGCCGCGGUAAUAC